GCUGUCGCUCAAUGGUAGAGCAUCAGCUAUGCUUGCCGUAGGUCCCAGGUUCAAUUCCUGGCAUCUCCA
This is a non-coding RNA of Podarcis lilfordi (Lilford's wall lizard), 69 nucleotides long. The record is from the annotation of a GenBank genome assembly. NCBI's taxonomy places the organism in Eukaryota, Metazoa, Chordata, Lepidosauria, Squamata, Lacertidae.